This 602-nucleotide ribosomal RNA is filed under the name uncultured bacterium. Its description in RNAcentral is "bacterial SSU rRNA". It matches the Rfam family "Bacterial small subunit ribosomal RNA", at positions 331 to 924 of the family's 1533-position model. The record is from RNAcentral.
CCAGACUCCUACGGGAGGCAGCAGUAGGGAAUCUUCCGCAAUGGGCGAAAGCCUGACGGAGCAACGCCGCGUGAGUGAUGAAGGUCUUCGGAUCGUAAAACUCUGUUAUUAGGGAAGAACAAAUGCGUAAGUAACUAUGCACGUCUUGACGGUACCUAAUCAGAAAGCCACGGCUAACUACGUGCCAGCAGCCGCGGUAAUACGUAGGUGGCAAGCGUUAUCCGGAAUUAUUGGGCGUAAAGCGCGCGUAGGCGGUUUUUUAAGUCUGAUGUGAAAGCCCACGGCUCAACCGUGGAGGGUCAUUGGAAACUGGAAAACUUGAGUGCAGAAGAGGAAAGUGGAAUUCCAUGUGUAGCGGUGAAAUGCGCAGAGAUAUGGAGGAACACCAGUGGCGAAGGCGACUUUCUGGUCUGUAACUGACGCUGAUGUGCGAAAGCGUGGGGAUCAAACAGGAUUAGAUACCCUGGUAGUCCACGCCGUAAACGAUGAGUGCUAAGUGUUAGGGGGUUUCCGCCCCUUAGUGCUGCAGCUAACGCAUUAAGCACUCCGCCUGGGGAGUACGACCGCAAGGUUGAAACUCAAAGGAAUUGACGGGGGCCCGC